This 250-nucleotide ribosomal RNA is filed under the name uncultured bacterium. RNAcentral describes it as "partial 16S ribosomal RNA". It matches the Rfam family "Bacterial small subunit ribosomal RNA", at positions 524 to 773 of the family's 1533-position model. The record is from RNAcentral.
UACGUAGGGUGCGAGCGUUGUCCGGAAUUAUUGGGCGUAAAGAGCUCGUAGGCGGCCUGUCGCGUCGGAUGUGAAAGCCCGGGGCUUAACCCCGGGUCGGCAUUCGAUACGGGCAGGCUGGAGUUCGGCAGGGGAGAUCGGAAUUCCUGGUGUAGCGGUGAAAUGCGCAGAUAUCAGGAGGAACACCGGUGGCGAAGGCGGAUCUCUGGGCCGAUACUGACGCUGAGGAGCGAAAGCGUGGGGAGCGAAC